CUUGGUUUGGUGUGCACCAUACUAGUUACACAGAAGGUCAUUUGUCACACCCGAAUUUAGGGGGCUAAACCCGGGCGCGAUUCAGAUGUGUGCUAGGAUCAAGUCCCACACAUAUGAUGACUCAUGGUACAGAAACGAAUGUCACAUCUUUAAUAUAUAAUGGAGUUCUGUACAAAAAUAGAUAAAUAAUUACAUCAUACGAAGACAAUGAUCCAACAACCAUAGUUAACUGGGAGACGACGGCCUAGACCUCUCACGAACAUCAUCGCGACAUCCAUCAUGCUCCUCAUCCUGCGGUACCUCCUCUUGACCUGGGGGAUGUGAGUACAACAAGGGUGAGCUCACAUACGUUCAUCGCUCAACAAGUUGUGGAGAAUAUUGUGCAUGAGCUCACUUACAAUGGGGCGCAUGUGAAGUGUAAGGCUUACCAAAGGAGAUGGUUAAAGCUGAGCAUUGCUUUUAAAGUUGGUCAAAGUUUUAUUAGCAGUUACUAAGUAUAAGUACAUACCAAUCCAAUUAAAUAAGAGAUCACAAUUGAUAAUAACACCCGCGAUGCAAUGCAUUUGGUAGAUUAAGUUUAGUUCCAUAAAUUAACCAUGCGAGUCCUGAGUCGCUCUUGACCGUGAGCAUGGCUGAUAUACUAGUUUUACACUCUGCAGAGGUUGCCGCCUUUACCCACAAGUCAUGUAUCCCAUCUAGCCAGGGUUUACAAGGCCCUUAGACACUUCCGAGGUGAAUGGCUAGGGAUCUACUACGAGACCUUUACAAAGUUCCGCUAGCUUUAGAAAACCCGUUAUGGUUUCUGAGAAGGGCAAUAUAUGAAUCCCUCAUCCGAAAAGCCAUCGCAGCAUGAUAGACCCGAGAACCUCCCUAUACGCAGCUCCUCUACCGCUCUUGCCCCUUUCAGGUAAGGUAGUCCUCCACUAGCUUUCCUAAUUAGUCAGCCAAGGGCGUCCCAUUCCACCCUUGUGGUAGCACAGAUAUCUCAAGUUAAGCUCCAUGUUCCAAUUAACACAAUGAUCUUGUCAUGAACAAUAAUUAAAACAACAUCAUAAUUGGAAUAUGAUCAUAAUUCAAAUAUAACAUUAAUCCUAAAACCAGGUAGAGUAAUAGCAAGUCUACCCAAUAGUUCAUUUGUCUGCAAGGGGUGGGGUAAACAAAUCUAGAGAAAUAUACUAGGUCCCAUCAAAUUAACCUUAGCAUGUCACAGUGAUUAACAAGAACAUUAUUGGGUAAAGAGAAAAGUGAUCAAGGGCACAACUUGCCUUAGACUCGAAAUUUCUAGGUACUUGUAGCAAUACAAACAAACAUAGUACAUGCAAAAUUAACAUCACACCAAUCAUGAGAACAUAUUACAUAAUAAUGAUCUACAUGUCGUAACUAGAUCCUAGGUUCGAGAACCACUAAAUUUGGAGUUACGGUUAUAAAGUUAUGAUUUUCCGAAUGUUUAAGUGUCUAAAAUAAAUGAGGUAUAAGAUUUUAACCAUAGGUUUCAUAGCAAUACAAGGUUAGUAGAUGAUAAACAAUAUUAGUAUGAGACUAAUGUAACUGGAAUAGAUCAAAAAGAGUUAAAAUGGAUUAAUUAUGAAUUAACCAAGUUCCUAGAAUUAUAUUCCCACUAAAAAUUAUUUUCUGGCUUCUUUUAUUAUUCCUGGUAUUUUAUUUGGACUGCAGACGUAAAUACCAAAGACUAUAGGGUUUACUAUAUAAAAUUCAGGGCAUAAUUGUAAUUACUUUACACUAGCAGUGGACGACGGGUUUAUUUUGAAAAUUGCUAGGGACUCAUACGCAAAGUGUCCGGUGAUGAAGGGGUAUCAUCGAAUCUAGGCCAUCCGAUCUCGAAUGGGUGGUCCAGAUUAGAUACAGCUAGGGGACGAAUCGUUACGCGGCCUGUGCGCACGAUCCGAGAUCUACGGUCAAGGUUUAACGAAGACGUGCCACAACCCCAGCCCUCCGAUUAAAUCGGACGGCCCACGCUACCCUGGCCGAAAUGGUACACUCAAUAAGAUCUAGGCCGCCCAUUCCGCGAUCAACGGUUCCCGCAUUAUCCCCUUCCUUACGCUCCCAUCAACCUAACAGGCCGCCAGAGAAGUCACCAGCCACGACGACGCUUCCAUCGGAGCAUGCAAAACUGGGUCCCCAAGGCUGUAUUCCAUACAAGGACGAGUGCUACACGAACUACGGGACCAGGUGAAAUAGUUAAGGGAAACCUUACUGGUGUUGAAGCGGCCCAACGAGCUGGCCACGAUGUUAUGCAGAUCCAUGGCGAACCACAAGCGAUGGCGAGCAAUUGCUUGGACGCCGAGGGUCCAAUGGCGGAAUUGAUGGUCGCCAAAGUUCCCUGGAACAAUGGCGCUGCUCUGGAAUACCGCACUGACGCCCGAGCGCCCACGAUUUGUGGUUUUGUCGGCGGCGGAUUCUCUCUCCCUCACGGCUACACAGUGACCUGGUAUUCGUUGUCGCGCGAC
RNAcentral lists this long non-coding RNA (2468 nucleotides) under Zea mays. Its description in RNAcentral is "long non-coding RNA (ZMAY_LNC003791)". Lineage: Eukaryota; Viridiplantae; Streptophyta; Magnoliopsida; Poales; Poaceae. The record is from RNAcentral.